UGCUUCGGUAGCUCAGUUGGUAGAGCACUUGCCCGCGGAAGGCAAAGGUCCCGAGUUCGAGCCUCGGUCGGGCAC
Molecule: transfer RNA, 75 nt
Filed under: Schistocerca americana (American grasshopper)
Lineage: Eukaryota; Metazoa; Arthropoda; Insecta; Orthoptera; Acrididae
Description: tRNA-Pro
Rfam family: tRNA
About the family: Transfer RNA (tRNA) molecules are approximately 80 nucleotides in length. Their secondary structure includes four short double-helical elements and three loops (D, anti-codon, and T loops).
Source: RNAcentral